Molecule: unclassified non-coding RNA, 493 nt
Filed under: Hevea brasiliensis (rubber tree)
Lineage: Eukaryota; Viridiplantae; Streptophyta; Magnoliopsida; Malpighiales; Euphorbiaceae
Source: RNAcentral
GAACAACAAGGAUGAGAAUAAGGAAGGAGGAGCGGCAAGAGAAGUGAUCCAUGUAGGUUACUUUGCCGUUCUGCUUCUCUUUUUAUUAUUAGGGGUUUGGCUGUUUUGGCUUUAGAUGUUGUGGUAAUGAUGAUGCUGGUGCAUUGAGAUUGUAACGGAGGAGAACGCGGAGGAGGAGGAGAGGACAAUGCAGGGCCUGACGCACUGGAAGGAGGCAACAGUAGUAAGAGAUGAAUGGAGAAGGGUUUGUGAUUGAGAGCUCAACACCCAUAAACCAGGAAAAGGGCCUCUGGGAAGUAGCAGUGACAGUGAGGACAAUGAAUGACUAGAGAGAGACACAAAUUAGCUUUGAGAAUUGAGACAAUAGUGCUCUCUCUAGCCUUUGCUUGGCCCUCUCUCUCUUCACUGCAUCGGAGAUUAUAAAAAAUUAAUUCGUUCUUCCUUCCUCCUCGGCUCCUCCCCCGCACGAACACGGAUUAAUUAUUCUUCCAAC